CUGGUGAGUAACACGUGGGUGAUCUGCCCUGCACUCUGGGAUAAGCCUGGGAAACUGGGUCUAAUACCGGAUAGGACCAUGCUUUAGUGUGUGUGGUGGAAAGUUUUUUCGGUGUAGGAUGAGCCCGCGGCCUAUCAGCUUGUUGGUGGGGUAAUGGCCUACCAAGGCGGCGACGGGUAGCCGGACUGAGAGGUUGGUCGGCCACAUUGGGACUGAGACACGGUCCAG
Molecule: ribosomal RNA, 228 nt
Filed under: uncultured Actinomycetales bacterium
Lineage: Bacteria; Bacillati; Actinomycetota; Actinomycetes; Actinomycetales
Description: partial 16S ribosomal RNA
Rfam family: Bacterial small subunit ribosomal RNA
Source: RNAcentral